UUUUGAAGGGUUUUUUUGUGUCUGUAAUUAUUUUUAAUUUGGGCUUCACUUCCCAGUCCAGUGAGAUGUGCUCUGCUACUUUCAUACUUUCUUAACCCUAUUAAUGUAGCCACAAAUUGUAGCUCUUUGGAUAUAUAAUUUAUUGCUGAACAUUCAAGUUUAAAGUUUUAAAAAUUUUCCUUGACCAGGGAUUGUGCAGCAUUGAUCAUAAUCAGCAUGAUCAUUAUUUGCAGUAGUUAAUACAUAGAAAACACUCUUUUUUUUGUUGAGUCAAUGAAUGCAUGUAUGAAUCAGAAGAAACAAAAUAGUAGUUUCUAUAUCUGCUAAGAAAGCAAAAUAAUGUAACAUACUAUCACUAUACUCAGCAUCUGAGUUUAUGUUUUAGUUUAUUUUGAUCAGUAAUACUACAUUAAUUACCUAGGAGUAAUAAGAAAAAAAGCUUGCUUAAUAUUUAAAUGUCAUGUUAAUGCAAAUGAAAGCCAAAUGCCCUCAUGCCAUAUAAUAAAAGGGUCAGUUUUGCAUUAGUUCAAAUAAAAAAGAGUGAUUGAGAAUUGAGUCACCACAAGGAACACAGUGGGUUGGGCAUGAUAAACUCAGCAGAAUCUCUAUCGUAGUAGCCAAUAUCAUUAUCUGGGUUUUGAGUGGAGAUCAACAAAAUAGUAUCAUCUAUCACACAAAUUUGUUGAUUUGAAUUUUACUGGUUCAUUGUUUAUUUUAUAAAUUUCUUCGUGGUUUUAAUUGUACAAGAGCUGAUAAGUAUAAGAAUUUAUAUUUAAGUGCAUAGUUUUUACCUGUGUGUAAGUAUUUAACAUAUUAAAAUAAUUUUGGAGAGUUCAUGAGACUUGUUUUCCUUUAAAAAGAAACCACGUCUUACUCAAACUUGCAUAAGCACCACACAACCCAAGUACUUUCUCAGUAGAACUCCAUUUGAGAACAGCUUGUUAGUGUGUAGAUUUGGAUAUAUGUGCCCUCAGAAACAUCACAGCAACAUACCAAAGCCCAAUAUAUCAGAGUUAAUCUGUGAUGCAGGCAUCAGUCCAGCUGGUACAUUCUGCUGUGAGUGCUUCACUCUAUUUUUAGUGGUAAUUUAUUUGGCAUGCAGAUUGAGAUCUUUCGUGGGAAUAACAAAAUGACUCACGCCUUCAGCUGCCCGAUUCUCCUAAGAACCACGAUGUGAGGCUGCACGAUUGUGGACCUGGGACAGUUGGUGGAUCCUGGUAACUGGAGGAUCUUUUACAAACUUAAAUAUUUUCUUAAACAAGGGUUUGAAGAUGCCUGUUUGAAGGAAAGAAACACGCUCCAGAGCAAGUCCCAACUCCCCAGUAAGGUGCAUUAUGUCAGAGUCUCCAGAAGCAAGCCUUAAGACAAGGAUUCCUGAGCACAUGAUUUGUUAAGAAGUGUUCUCAGGAAAACUGGUAAGAAAGUGGGGAAGCAGUAGAGGGAAGAGGAAGAGGGCAAACGAGUUCCACACCCCACUUGAUCCUGUGGGGAGCUCUGGAAUAUAAAUUAUACCUCAAAUUUGUCCUGUCUUCAUAGAAGGAGGCUGAGCUUUUAUACUCCCACAUGAGUCAAUCAUUGACUGUUGGCUUCUCCCAGGAAGAAGUUAUUGGCAGUGCAAAUUACUGUAUAUUUUUGAUUCUUUACACUGCAGGCAAAGCUGUUUUAGCUGUCUAAGGCUAGGCCAUUGAAGACAGUUGCAGGUGAAAAGCAUUAUAAUUAAAGCACACCCAACCUUGGCGCUGGAUACACAGA
This 1752-nucleotide long non-coding RNA is filed under the name Homo sapiens (human). RNAcentral describes it as "HSALNT0219814". Lineage: Eukaryota; Metazoa; Chordata; Mammalia; Primates; Hominidae. The record is from RNAcentral.